RNAcentral lists this non-coding RNA (24 nucleotides) under Arabidopsis thaliana (thale cress). Lineage: Eukaryota; Viridiplantae; Streptophyta; Magnoliopsida; Brassicales; Brassicaceae. The record is from RNAcentral.
AGGGUUGUUUCCGUUUCUCGGUGA